GAUGAACGCUGGCGGCGUGCCUAAUACAUGCAAGUCGAGCGAACAGACGAGGAGCUUGCUCCUCUGACGUUAGCGGCGGACGGGUGAGUAACACGUGGAUAACCUACCCAUAAGACUGGGAUAACUUCGGGAAACCGGAGCUAAUACCGGAUAAUAUAUUGAACCGCAUGGUUCAAUAGUGAAAAGACGGUUUUGCUGUCACUUAUAGAUGGAUCCGCGCCGCAUUAGCUAGUUGGUAAGGUAACGGCUUACCAAGGCAACGAUGCGUAGCCGACCUGAGAGGGUGAUCGGCCACACUGGAACUGAGACACGGUCCAGACUCCUACGGGAGGCAGCAGUAGGGAAUCUUCCGCAAUGGGCGAAAGCCUGACGGAGCAACGCCGCGUGAGUGAUGAAGGUCUUCGGAUCGUAAAACUCUGUUAUUAGGGAAGAACAAAUAGUGUAAGUAACUAUGCACGUCUUGACGGUACCUAAUCAG
RNAcentral lists this ribosomal RNA (478 nucleotides) under uncultured bacterium. Its description in RNAcentral is "bacterial SSU rRNA". It matches the Rfam family "Bacterial small subunit ribosomal RNA", at positions 28 to 486 of the family's 1533-position model. The record is from RNAcentral.